AGACCACACUUUGUUGAUCCAUAACUACAAGAUUGAAAAGACAAACACAGCUAGAAUUAUUAACAACAACCAGGAAUUCCGAGCAUCACAAAUGCCAUAGAUUAUUGAAGAGCAAUUUUUUGUAAGUAAGGGUGAAAACAGACUCUGCCUAUGAGGAUGCAGGCUAUCACUUUAAUAGAAAUUACAACUUACACGGCUGUAAGAGGGGUACUAGAU
RNAcentral lists this unclassified non-coding RNA (216 nucleotides) under Hevea brasiliensis (rubber tree). Lineage: Eukaryota; Viridiplantae; Streptophyta; Magnoliopsida; Malpighiales; Euphorbiaceae. The record is from RNAcentral.